RNAcentral lists this long non-coding RNA (363 nucleotides) under Citrus sinensis (sweet orange). RNAcentral describes it as "long non-coding RNA (CSIN_LNC001505)". The record is from RNAcentral. Lineage: Eukaryota; Viridiplantae; Streptophyta; Magnoliopsida; Sapindales; Rutaceae.
AAUAGGAACUGUAACUGGUAUUCCUGUGAUCGGUUUAAUAGGCAUUUUCUUUUAUGGUUCAUAUUCCGGAUUAGGUUCGUCCUUGUAGUAAUCGAAUGAACUGCGUUAUAGACAUAAAAGCGUAAGAACUCAAGGUACCCUGUCGUUCCCGUGCUUUGUCUGAUUCGAGGGGUAGGGCCAGGGCCCCUUGAGUUCUUAAUAAACAUAAUAUUUUGGUUUGCUCGUAUAAAUGGAAAAAAUGGAUCGCUUUUUCCGAUGCUUCAAAAAAAUCCAUUUCAUUUUUUUCUGAUUUCUGAUGAUUUUUUUUAUUAACUUGCUUAAUUGAUUCAGAACCGCUGUUCCCCGAGAGUCUCUAUCGAUACU